AUAGAUGUAGACGAAUGCCUGUCAAACCCGUGUUCAGCUAAUGGAAUUUGCAGAGACGAAAUUGCUGGUUUUACCUGUCAAUGCAACAAUGGCUUCACUGGAGAGCUCUGUGAAAUAGACACAGAUGAAUGUUCUAGCGAACCUUGUCAGAAUGAUGCCACAUGCAUCGAUGAGAUAUCUGGUUUCUCCUGCAUUUGUGUGACGGGUUUCAUAGGCACCACGUGCGAGACGAACUUUAACGAGUGUUCGACGAAUCCCUGCGUUAGAGGCGUUUGUCAAGAUCAGGUUAAUAAAUAUGAGUGUGUCUGUCCCGCUGGUUACUAUGGCGAUCGAUGUGAAGCUGACCACAACGAGUGCUUGUCUUCCCCGUGUUUGCAUGGGCUUUGCAGUGAUGAGAUCAAUAGCUUUAAUUGCACUUGUGA
Molecule: long non-coding RNA, 422 nt
Organism: Anneissia japonica
Lineage: Eukaryota; Metazoa; Echinodermata; Crinoidea; Comatulida; Comatulidae
Exons: 3
Source: RefSeq, a predicted model, not a curated record